AACGGCUUCACCUAAGGUUCAACAAUGGGUAGGGGGCCUGAGAGGGUUGUCCCCCACACUGGUACUGAGACACGGACCAGACUCCUACGGGAGGCAGCAGUGAGGAAUAUUGGUCAAUGGAGGGAACUCUGAACCAGCCAUACCGCGUGCACCAAGAAUGCCCUAUGGGUUGUAAACUGCUUUUAUUUGGGAAGAACCCUGAUUACGUGUAAUCAGNUGACGGNACCAAUCGAAUAAG
RNAcentral lists this ribosomal RNA (238 nucleotides) under uncultured bacterium. RNAcentral describes it as "partial 16S ribosomal RNA". It matches the Rfam family "Bacterial small subunit ribosomal RNA", at positions 259 to 490 of the family's 1533-position model. The record is from RNAcentral.